AAGAGUUUGAUCUUGGCUCAGGAUUAACGCUGGUGGCGUGCUUUAUGCAUGCAAGUCGAACGGUCUUGAGCAAUCAAGACAGUGGCAGAUGGGUGAGUAACGCGUAAGUGACUUGUCCCUAAGUGGGGAAUAGCUCGGAGAAAUCUGAGGUAAUACCGCAUGUGGUGAUGGAGGUGAUGCUUCAUCACUAAAGCCGCAAGGCGCUUGGGGAGGGGCUUGCGUCCGAUUAGCUAGUUGGUAAGGUAAUAGCCUACCAAGGCGACAAUCGGUAGCUGGUCUGAGAGGACGAUCAGCCACACUGGGACUGAGACACGGCCCAGACUCUUACGGGAGGCAGCAGCAAGGAAUAUUGCGCAACGGGCGAAAGCCUGGCGCAGCGACGCCACGUGAGGGAUGAAGGCCUUCGGGUUGUAAACCUCUUUUCUCAGGGAAGAACUCUGACGGUACCUGAGGAAUAAGUCUCGGCUAACUACGUGCCAGCAGCCGCGGUAAGACGUAGGAGGCAAGCGUUAUCCGGAUUUAUUGGGCGUAAGGAGCGUGUAGGCGGCUCCUCAAGUCGAAUGUAAAAUCUCCCGGCUUAACUGGGAGGGAUCAUUCGAUACUGUUGAGCUAGAGUGCAGUAGAGGGAAGCGGAAUUCCCGGUGUAGUGGUGAAAUGCAUAGAUAUCGGGAGGAACACCAGUGGCGAAGGCGGCUUCCUAGGCUGCAACUGACGCUGAGGCGCGAAAGCGUGGGGAGCGAACAGGAUUAGAUACCCUGGUAGUCCACGCCCUAAACUAUGGACACUAGGUAUGGGGAGUAUCGACCCUUCCUGUGCCGAAGCUAACGCAUUAAGUGUCCCGCCUGGGGAGUACGGUCGCAAGGCUAAAACUCAAAGGAAUUGACGGGGGCCCGCACAAGCAGCGGAGCGUGUGGUUUAAUUCGAUGCAACACGAAGAACCUCACCAAGGUUUGACAUGACGGAAGUAGUGAACCGAAAGGGGAACAACCUGUUAAGUCAGGAGCCGUCACAGGUGCUGCAUGGCUGUCGUCAGUUCGUGCCGUGAGGUGUUAGGUUAAGUCCUGCAACGAACGCAACCCUUGUCGCCAGUUAAUUUCUUUGGCGAGACUGCCCCGUAAAACGGGGAGGAAGGUAGGGAUGACGUCAAGUCAGCAUGGCCCUUAUACCUUGGGCGACACACACGCUACAAUGGGUGGUACAAUGGGUUGCAAUGGAGCGAUCCGGAGCCAAUCCUAAAAACCAUCCCCAGUACAGAUUGCAGGCUGAAACUCGCCUGCAUGAAGUCGGAGUUGCUAGUAACCGCAGGUCAGCAUACUGUGGUGAAUACGUUCUCGGGCCUUGCACACACCGCCCGU
RNAcentral lists this ribosomal RNA (1355 nucleotides) under uncultured eubacterium t0.8.f. Its description in RNAcentral is "bacterial SSU rRNA". It matches the Rfam family "Bacterial small subunit ribosomal RNA". Lineage: Bacteria; Bacillati; Chloroflexota; Chloroflexia; Chloroflexales; Chloroflexaceae. The record is from RNAcentral.